This 32620-nucleotide long non-coding RNA is filed under the name Capsicum annuum. RNAcentral describes it as "long non-coding RNA (CANN_LNC013775)". The record is from RNAcentral. Lineage: Eukaryota; Viridiplantae; Streptophyta; Magnoliopsida; Solanales; Solanaceae.
UUCUCCUUCUCAUUUUUAUUUAUUGAUUUUCCGUUUAAUCUCAUUAGUGAUAAUUUGAAAAAAAAAUUCUAACCAAAGGGCAAGAACAAAGGAAAAUCUCAAACUCAAUUGUUCUGCCACUGUCGGUUGAGAAUGCUAAAGAGCAUCUUAAUUUUAUCUAUGCCUGUUUCUCCGAUUUCGAUGGUAAGAAAAAUACUUUUUAUUAUUUCUUUCUAAAUUUCGUUCCUCCAUUAUUUGUAUUUUGUAGAAUUAUUAACUUUGUUUUUGUUGAUUCACAUGCACUCAAGAAUAAUAGAAUGGAGGUCUACAAACUCAGAAGAAUUUUCUAGUGCAUGAAAAUUAAUCUUAUUUCUUAAAAAUAUCUUUUCUCUAUAUAUAGGAAAGCACAUCGUAAAAGAUCACAUCGACAUUCUAAGAGUAUCAAAAGAUAACUUGAAUACACACACCCAUAUAUUAAAUUAUUAUGUAUUGUGUUUUUUCAAUUAGUCAUAAGUAGUUUGUAAAACAUUUACUUUAUAUUUUGCAUAAUGUGUAAUUUAGAAUUUGUGUACUUCAUAUAAAAGUUGAAAGUAUAUUACUCAUUAGAAUCUUCAGAUCUACUUUCAAAGGACGAUAUCUUUUAAACUUAUUUUUACAAUUAUAGUUUGGUUUUCUUAUUUCUGAUGUACUAAGUAUUAUAUUUUUAUGUAGAGUAUUUAUUUCUGUAUUUAUUAGUUCUAGAUUUCUUUAUUUUCUAAUUUUUUUUUAAAUAGAUUUAUCUCGUUUAAUAAUUUUGUUUUUAUCAUUUUCUUCUUUUUCUUUCUGUCUUUUUUCAUACAGGUCUUUUAGCAUUUGUAGUUCAUUUUCUAAUUCGGCAAUCCUACUAUUUUUAGUUUUUUCUAUUUUUCAUAUUUCUUUUGUAGUUUGUUGUUUUAUUUUAUCUAUUUUCCUUUUUUCUGUCUAUCUCUUCAUUUUAUUUUUCUAUUCUUACCAUGACUGCCAACUUAUGUUCUAAUUUUAAUUCUUUUUUUUUCUAACAUUAAAUAUAAAUAUUCACCUAAACAAAUAAUUACUAUACAUAUGCAUGUAAACGCAUUUGGAUUAAUACUUGAUUGAUGUGCUUGUUAAGAGCCUUCUUAAAUAUCAUUAUAUGACAUUAGUUUUUUCUAUUUUUCAUAUUUCUUUUGUAGUUUUUUGUUUUAUUUUAUCUAUUUUCCUUUUUUCUGUCUAUCUCUUCAUUUUAUUUUUCUAUUCUUACCAUGACUGCCAACUUAUCUUCUAAUUUUAAUUCUUUUUUUUUCUAACAUUAAAUAUAAAUAUUCACCUAAACAAAUAAUUACUAUACAUAUGCAUGUAAACGCAUUUGGAUUAAUACUUGAUUGAUGUGCUUGUUAAGAGCCUUCUUAAAUAUCAUUAUAUGACAUGAUGAAACUGAUGAAAACUUUAUACAAGAUGAUAACAGGUUCGAUGUUCAAUUGGUAAUAUGUGUUUUGAGAAUUGCAUCAUUUUGUAAUCAAAAUAUAAUUGAAAUCACCAAACAUUUUAAAUAUCAAUUUACAUUGAAACUUAAAUCUUUUUGAAAGAUAAAAAUUGUAUUAUCUUAUCUUCAACUAAUAUAAAAAUAAAGAUAAGAGAUCCACUAAGAUAUUUCAUGUCUAACAGAAAUUUUGGUGAUAGAAAUUUAUUAGCAUGCAAAUUUGUACUGAUAAUAAUCAUAAACAUGAUAAUAAUAAUCAUCCACAAAAAAGUUACGUAUGUCAUGAAUAACAAUUAUUAUAUUCUGAAAAUUACGGACUAUAUAUGUUGCAUUUGUUUGAUCACUCCAACAUAAUCUAAAUAAAUUUUUAUAUUACUAACUGCAUGUAACUGUGGAUAGAGUAAUUGAAGCGUAACUGGGGAUAAAGUAAUUGAAGCGAAUAAUACCUUAAAUUUAUAUAAACAUCUCCAAAGAUGAUUUUUAUAAGUAACUUUGUAGCAUUAUAAUUUACAGCAAUGUAGAACUAUAUCAUAAAAUAAAAUAAGGAUAAAAAUGAUAUUAGAGUCCUAUUUAGAGCCGUCAAUAUGGGCUAGACCCAUUGGGCCGGCCCGAUCUGGCUUAUAAUUUGAUGGAGUUGGGCUUCAAUAUUUGCAGCCCAUUUAAGAACAGGAUUUUUUAGCCCGCUCGGAUAAACCCGUGGCUCGUUGGGCUUACGCAAUGUGGGUUGGGCUAGUCCGUGGGCCGACCCGUAAGUCAAAUACAUACAACUAUUUAGAUUAUUUAUUAGUAUUUUUGUUUGAUUCGACGGAUAUCAUGUCAAAAGUUAUUUAAUUUCGCUGUUAAGAGUAUUUUUUGGGGUGUUGGAGACUUGAUUAACAAGUAUUAACACUAUGUAAUAUUAGCUGGUAAUAUUUAUGUUUAUUAACAUUCUAAAAUUAAAUUAUAAAAUAUUAUUUUUUAAAAGGUGGGCUGGCCCGUAUGAUUCGCAGCCCACAGAGUAACGGUGUGGGCUUGAUAUUUUUUGGCCCAUCAUUUUAAUGGGCCAGCCCAACACGACCUCAAACUCAAAGCCCGUGUGGACUAACCCAAAUGGGCUGGCCAACCCGUAUAGACAGCUAUAGUCCUAUUUUUCAAAUAUACAUUUUUAUUUAUAAGUGAACUAUUUCUAACAAAAAUUUAUAUCAUAAAGAAGAAUGUGACUUUUUGAAUUUUAACAAUAUACACAGUUUAUUCUCACAUAGUAGGAUAUGAAAAAGAUAGCAUGAAGGCAGUUCAUAUAAUUACCUCAGUGGUUUGAUAGAUUGGUGAUUUUUGAUAGAUCCUCGGCUUAAUACAAAAUACAGUUCAAAAAAAUGUUAAAAGGGUACUAAAGACAAUAAGAGUAACACAACAAUAGAUAGUAACAGAAAAAUACUACCACAAAAUAAUAUUAUAAGCGAUCUACCCGAAACAACAUAUAUCGACAAGAAUUCAAGAAUAAAAAAUCUAUAAGCAUAAAACUAUGACUACUAUUAAGAACAAUAUUCCUACUUACUAUCAUGAACUCAUGAUAAGGCGAAGUAACUUAUAUUUGUGUUAAUUACACUAAAUAUAUUGUUUUUGUUGUGUUGGUUAUACGACCAAAUGUACUUCAACAAAUGUGAUUAUAGUAACUGAUUUUAAGCCAGUUUUAAAAUUUAGGCGGUGGUUAAUAUCACAAUAUCACCAUAUAUACCUAAUUGCAUUUUAUUUUUACUUCCUUUAGAGUAUGUUUACAUAUAUAUAAACGUGUUUAAUAUGAUUUAUUUUAGAUUUAAUUCUGUUAUGCAUAACUAAACUUAUAUAUUCUAAUUUCUUUAUUUUGAAUGGGCGAUAAGAAAAUUCAAAAUACUUAUAUAUAUAAAAUACACAAAAAGGAUAUUAAUCUAAAAUCAAAUGAGACAAAAUAAUUAGUAUACAAUGUACAAAAUGUGCACAUAGUGGGGGUGGGGGUGAGGGGAUUCAAACUAAUUUUAAGAAUGUAAUGAACUAAUUUUAACAAUCUAACUAUAUAUUCAACAUAAAACCAAUCAAUUGUAAUGAAUUAAUCAAUCAUGUAUAUUCUUCUUUUUGCCUUUGCCUUACUUUUUUAUUUUCUCGAAGUUAUGUUAUUCUACACAAAACAUGCGAUUACGAUAAUUAAUUUGACCAAUGAUUAAUAUUACCAUAUAUACAUAAUUAUUUUUUACUCCUUUAAGAGUAUAUUUACAUAUAAAUAAACGUAUUUAGGGGGCUUAUUUUAAAUUUUGUCUUGCUAUGUAUAACUAAAUUUAUAGCAUAUUUUAAUUUUUAUAUUUUGGGAUAAGGGAAAAGAAAACUAAAUUACUUAUACAUGUUAUAUAAAAAAGAAAAUUUAGAUUAUUAGACAAAAAUAAAGUAAUAAAAAUACAAUAUAUAAAAUGAAUAAAUUAAUUUUAAGAAUAUAUUGAAGUAAUUAGAUAAUGCAGAUGUUACUAUGCAUAAAUUUAAACCGGAGAGAUGUGAACUAUUGUAUAAAAAUUUAAAAAUAAAAAUAAAAUAAUGUUAACAAUAUAAUAUCUUUAAAUUCAGAAUAAUGUAAUUAAAAAAUUACAAACACUAGAGUUUCUUUUUACAUUUAUAUGUUUGUCUAUAUUUAUAUAGAUUUAAUUAGGCGUGUCUAUGAUAGUGUAGGAUGAGUGUGGGGCGUGUGGGUAUUUCAUUGAGAAAUAAUAUGAUAGUUAAACUUUAUGAUUUAACAUGCUUUAAUAAAAUAUUGAAAUAUGAAAUGAUUAAAAAUAAUACUCUAAUAUCAUCCACGUAUCGCGCGGGUACAUACACUAGUAUUAAUAAAAGCGGAGGUGCGAGCAAUUCAAUCUAUGCAUUGACGGAAGGAGCUAAACAAAAAGGUAGGUGACAAUAAGCUUAAUGAUUCUUAAAAAAGCUAAUAAUUAAAAGCUUGGCAAUUAAGAUAAUUCGUAGGUAAAAUACUUGGCUUUUGUUAGGGCCAAUAUUUACCCAGAUACAUUGUGCAUCUAAUGUUCACAUGUUGAGGAAAUAACUUUACCCUAAAAGAACCAAAUUAUAUUGGUUUUAUUAACAUUAUACCCAAUCGUCUAGUGUUUUAGCCUUUACGGCCUAGACUGAACAAUGAAAUCUUUUUGUUGUUCUUAGUAGUUUUGGAGUGUGUUACCUUGUCUGAGUACUGUUACUUGACUUACUAGCAUAUUCAUUAAUUGUGGUAGUAUUAGUUCCUGCUAUUGACUAUUGUUUAUCAAAAUUUGUGUUAUAUUAUUGGUUUUGUUGCUCUCUAUCUAUUAUAGAUUGUUGGUUGUGUCCCUAGCUCCUUUAUUGGCUUCAUUGUAACUAGUGUGCCCUUUUUACCUUAUCUUGAUCCCCUUUGUUAUCUUUCUUCCCUUUUUCCCUUCAUCCCUUUCCCCUUUGUUGCAUAAUGGCGGUGAUUGGCGAUGGUAGAAAAGGGUCAUGUCAUAGGUCGAGGUCGGGUUCAUGGUCAGGAGAUGUUGGGUCUGGGUCGGGGUUUGGGGGGGUUGGGUCUGGGUCGGGUCUAGGAUUGGGUUUGGAGUUAGGGGCUAGGGGUAGUAAGGUUAGGCGGGAUAAGGGAGCUUUUAGGUUGCGAGUUACGUCUUGGAACAUCGGUACUUUGCAUGGUAAGUCUAUAGAGCUGGUGAAGAUUCAUAGAAAGAGGAGGGUUAGUGUAGCGUAUGUCCUGGAAACUAAAUGGGUAGGCACUAAAGUGAGAGAUGUGGAUGGAUAUAAGUUGUGGUACUCGGGUAGCGUGAGACAUAGAAAUGGGUAGGUAUCUUAGUAGAUGAAAAUCUUAAGGAGCAGGUGGUAGAGGUAAAGAGAGUUAGUGAUAGAUUGAUGUCUAUUAAGUUGGUCAUAGGAGUGUCUACGGUGAACGUUAUUAGUGCCUACACCCCGCAAGUAGGUUUAGACGAGGAGGAGAAGAAGAAAUUCUGGGAGAUUUUAGAUGAGGUGAUGAGGAGCAUCCCGAGCAUUGGAAAGCUUUUCGUGGGAAGGAAUUUCAAUGGGCAUAUUAGGUCUCUGUUGAGAGGGUACGAUGAUGUGCAUGGUGAUUUCAGUUUUGGUAAGCAGAAAGAAGGAAAAACUUCUCUGUUGGAUUUUUCUAGGGCUUUUGGGUUAUGGAUAGCAAAUUCGAGCUUUUCGAAGAAGGAGGAUCACCUUAUUAUGUUUCAUAGUUCAGUAACCAAGACUCAUAUAGACUUUUUGAUUCUUAGAAAAGUGGAUCGAGUGCUAUGUAAAGACUGUAAGGUCAUACCUAGCGAGAAUCUCUCAACUCAACAUAGGUUGUUUGUGAUGGACUUGGUUAUGAAUAAGGGCAAAAAAAAAGAGAAGUGGGGAGGCACGACCCAGGAUUAAGUAGGGUAGCUUGACUUUGGCUAGUGCUUUGGAGAUGGAAGAAAAGUUAAAGAGUAGGGGGCGUGGGAGAGUAGAGGGGAUGUAGAUAAUAUGUAGGAGACGACUGUCAGUUGCAUUAGGGAGACCGCUAGAGAGGUGUUGGGUGUCUCAAGAGAUCGAUCUGGCAAACAUCGAGGAGACUAGUGGUGGAAUGAAGAGGUCAAGAGAAAGGUGGAGUCUAAGAAGGUGGAUUAUGCUAAGUUGGUUAGGAGUAAGGAUGAUGAGGAAAGGCAGAAGAAUAAAGAGGAGUAUAAGGUAGCUAGAAGAGAAGCUAAGUUAGCAGUUACGACGGCUAAGACAACAGCUUUUGAGAGUUUAUAUGAGGCUUUAGAGGAGAAAGAUAAAGAUAAAAAGUUGUAUAUGAUGGCCAAGGACAGGAAGUGGAGGGGCUCAUAACCUUGACCAGGUGAAGUACAUCAAAGGAGAUGAUAGCAUAGUGUUGGUUGAGGAUGCCCUCAUUAGGGAGAGGUGGCAGUCCUAUUUUCAUAAACUUUUGAAUGACGAGGGGGACAAAGGUUUUGUGUUGGGAGACUUGGAGAUAUCUGAGGAGGGUCACGAUUAUAGUUAUUGUAGGCAUAUCGAUAUUGAGGAGGUCAAAGGGGCUAUUUCCAGGAUGCGGUAGGGUAGGGUGACAGAGCCAAAUGAGAUUCCAGUAGAUUUUUGGAAGAGCACUAGAGGGGCAGGUUUGGAGUGGUUGACAAGGUUGUUUAACAUUAUUUUUAGAGCUGCUAAGAUGGCUGAAGCAUAGAUAUGGAGCACGAUGAUUUCAGUGUAUAAGAACAAGGAAAACAUUUAGAGUUGUAACAACUAUAGAGGUAUUAAGUUGUUGAGUCAUACUAUGAAGGUUUGGGAAAGGGUGGUAGAGUUGAGGAUGAGGAGGAUCGUGACGAUCUCUAAGAAUCAGUUCAGUUUUAUGCCUAGUCGCUCGACCACUGAGGCCAUUCACCUUGUGAGGAGAUUAGUGGAGCAGUUUUGAGAGAGGAAGAAUGACUUGCACAUGGAGUUUAUUGAUUUAGAGAAGGCAUAUGACAGAGUUCCCAGGGAGAUUCUGUAGAGGUGCUUGGAGGCUAAAGGGUUGCCCAUGGCGUACACUAGGUCAAUUAAGGAUAUGUAUGAUGGUGCCAAGACUCGUGUGAGGACGGUAUGUGGAGAUUCAGAGAACUUCACAGUUUUGAUAGGGUUGCACUAGGGAUCUACUCUUAGCCCGUUUCUAUUUGCUUUGGUAAUGAAUGUUUUGAUGCGACAUAUUCAAGGGGAGGUGCCUUGGUGUAUGUUAUUUGUAGAUGAUAUGGUUUUAAUAGACGAGACUUGGGGUGGAGUUAAUGAUAAGUUGAAAAUUUAGAGACAGACGCUUGAAUCUAAAGGUUUUCGAUUAAGUAGAACCAAGAUGGAGUACUUGGAGUGUAAGUUCAGUGAUAUGUCGCAAGAAGAUGGAGUGGUUGUGAAGCUAGACUCUCAGGCCAUCUAGAAUAGGGAGAGUUUUAAGUAUCUGGGAUCUAUAAUUUUGGGUAAUGGUAAGAUUGACGAUGAUGUCACGCAUUAUAUUGGGGCAGGGUGGUUGAAGUGGAGGCUCACUUCGGGAGUCCUUUGUGAUAAGAAGGUGACCCCGAAGCUUAAAGGUAAGUUCUACAGAGUGGAAGUUCGGACGGCUAUAUUGUAUAGAGUGGAGUUUUAGCCAAUUAAGAACUCCCACAUCCAAAAGUUAAAGGUGGCGAAGAUGUGAAUGUUGCGAUGGAUGUGUGGACAUACCAGGAAAGAUAGGGUGAGGAAUGAGAUUAUUCGAGAGAAGGUAGGAGUUGCCUCGGUGGAGGAUAAGUUAUGAGAAGUAAGGCUUCGUUGGUUCAGGCAUGUGAUGCGGAGGGGCCUUGAUGCUCCAGUGGGGAGAUGUGAGACUCUGGAUAGGGAUGGUUUUAGGCGGGCCAGAGGUAGACCGAAGAAAUAUUAAAGGGAGGUGAUUAGGUAUGAUAUAGAGCAAUUACAACUUAUAGAGGACAUGACCCUUGAUAGAAAGGUGUGGAGGACGUGGAUUAGGGUAGAGGGUUAGGGGGUGGGAGUGCGGAGGUAGUAAUAAGGGAGUGCUCCUUUGGGUUUGGAGUUUCUGGUUCGUAGUGUUGUGGCUGUAGUUUGGGGCUAGUGGUGUUGGAUUUUUCGCAUCCCAUACUAGUUUAUUAUGCACUUAUCUUUUGUGUUUGUUAUACAGUUAGUUUGUUUUGUGUACCAUACUAGUUUAUAUGAGCCUACUUUUUGUAUUUGUUAUACUUUUAUUGGUCCUAAGCCGAGGGUCUAGCAGAAACAACCUCUCUACUUCUCUUAAGAUAGUGGUAUGAUCUGCGUACACUCUACCCUCCCCAGACCUCACUAAGUGGGAAUACAAUGGGUAUGUUGUUGUUGUUGUUGUAAUGUGACAGAUAGAUCUCUAAGUUUAUCUUGUAAUUACUUGCAAGGUGAUAAGAUGGUUCAUCAUAACUUUUUUCUUUUGGGUUAAAACAUAUACUUCAAUUGGAAAAACAUAAUAGUUUACAAAAGGAGGCAUUCAUCCUGGAUCAACCAAAAAAGAUGUUGGAUAAGGACUAGCUUGGAAAUCAUGAGAAGAGUUUGUUCUCCUAAUGUAACUAGUUCCACUAAUGUCUGUCCAGACAUGCUUGGAAGCAUAUAUUGGAGGAACUACAAAAAUAAGUGUUCUUUAAAAACUUCCAUUGAUGCUCCCUUCUUUGCAAGUGCAUCAACCACUCCAUUUUGUUCACGAUAAAAAUGCUAUAUAUACUAGAGAACUUUUUAGCCUUCUUAGUAUCAACCUAUAUUUAUCAACAAUCUUACCAUUUUUAAGCAUAGAAAGCACUUCCAUAGAUUCUAUAUUACUGAUGAUGGGGUGGGAUUGUUUUCUUCAGCAAUUUUAAGGCCUUCUCUUAAAGCAAAGAGCUUCAUCUGGUUGUUGGUAACUCUAAUUUAACUUUUGGAGAUACCAAUGAUCCAAUCCACUAUGUGUUUCUAAUUACAAAACCUAUUCCACCCUUUCCAGGAUUUCCCAAGAAAGCACCAUCAAUGUUAUAAGCUUAUAAGGCAUUGGAAAAGGGGGGAUUAUCUUGGGUGGGGAGUUACCCUUGUUUUACAGUUGGGAGUAUUUCAUAUCCUCAUUUUAAUUACUAUUGAAGGAGGAUAUGUCUUUUUUGAGGUUGAACAAGUUAUGUUUUCUGUUCCUCCAGAUAGACCAGAUGCAUUAAGGAAGGAGAUUUUCCCAAGAUACUAACCUAUUGAAGUUGGUGCUUUUGAGAGAGCUCUAAGUGAAAUUUUAGUUGGCGGUGGAGAACGAGUCUAGAUUAAUGGGCAUAUAGAUGAAGGACUUCCUAAUGAGAUUAUUCCAGAAGUUAUAGGUUAAGGGUACCUAUAAAAAAUAUGGUCAAGGUCUUCAAUUUGUUUUAUGCAGAAGCUAUAAUUUGGGUUGACAUUAAUUCCCCUAGAAACUAGAGUAAAGCUAGUGGGAAGGAUUUUAUGAUCCAUUAACCAAAGGAAAAACUUGAUCUUAUUGGCAGUAACUAUUUUCUAAAUCCUGUUCAAACGAUUACCAUUAUAGGGGUUGUCUUGGGUGAGAAAGUUAGCUAUGUGGGUAUAGGCACUCUUGUAUAAGUAGAUUAGCAGUAAGUUCCCAAAUAAGAAAAGAUGUGAUGAGGUAUAUCAAAAGAAAUAUUUUGAGGGUCCCAAUUGUUAUCUUUCCAGACAUCAAAGAGUUUAAGAGAAGAGAUGGAGGGAAAUGAGAGACCUUGAAUAAGGUGGUUGAGGAAGGGUGAUUAGGAAUCCAUCUAUCAAGCUAAAAUUUCAAUUUGUAGUCCUUGUGGACAAUCCAUUAGGAGACAUCUGUGUAUAUUUCCCAUCCUUUCAUGAUGAUAUAAGUUCUAGAGUAGGGGCAGGGGAAAACUCCCAUAUUUCUAUAUGAGGACAUCUUCCCAUAAGGAAUUUUAUGGUUAUUAUUGAAUCUUCAAGAUAAACUACUGAGAAUUGUGGUGUUCUUAUUAGCAACUUUUUAAAUUCCAAGCCCUCCAAGGUGCUUGGGAUUGGUGAUAGUAUAUCAAUUUAUCAGGUGCAUCUUCCUUCUAUCCUUAGAGAAGCCCCAAAUAAAGUUUCUUUGGGUUCUACUAAUUAGAUUAAGAAGUUUAUAAGGCAAGAAGAUAUAUUGUAUGACAUAGUUGGGCAUACUAUCUAAGGAGGCUCUAGAAAGGGUAGUUCUACCAAACAUGUUCAAAAUUUUUGUUUUCCAACCAGUCAACUUCAUGUUAAGAUUGUCAAUAAUGAAUUGAAAAUCACUUGAGGAGGGCUUCUUAUGGAAUAUGGGGAAGCCCAGGUAUUUCCCAAAUAUGUCUUUAGCAAGAACGUUAAGGAUAGAGGAGAGUCUAUUUUUUCCCUCUUUACUAUAGUUAUUGAAGAAGAUAACUUUCGAUUUGUAAGGGUUAAUCUUUUGCCCAGAGAAAUGGCUAUUAACAUUGAGAUUGUUGACAAUGGUGGUGCAAUUGAUAUCAUCAGCUCUGACUAUCAAGGUAAGAUCAUAAAAAAAAGAGAUAAGAAAUUCUAUGGCUUCAUUUGUUGAUAUCAUAGGGUUCCAUCUCAGGAGGUCUACUUUAUGGUCAAUUCUUCAAGAAAGAAGUUCCAUAUAUAAAAUAAAAAUAUAGGAGGAGAUGAGAUUUUAUUUUCUGAUGCCCCUUGAGGGCUUGAAGAAAUGAGUCUUGCUACUAUUUGUAAGAACAAAGAUGAAAGAAGAGGAAUUCAAGAUGUGAUGGGGCUCAGAGGCCUUUAGGAAAGUUGAAGAAAGUUAGAACAUGUCUGAUAAAGACCACUCUAAUCCAUCAGAGGUCUUCUCAAGAUAAAUUUUGAGGAUUAUGUUAGCUUUUUUCCUUUUUAUUUUAUGAAAAUGGCUGAUGUAUUCAUGGGAAAUUAUGGCAUUAUCAGAUGCUCUUCUUUUGGAUAUGAAGCAAGCUCGACUUUUGCCAAUGAUGUUGACCAUAAAAGUUUUUAUUCUAUUGACAAUGAUUUUUCCAAUAAUCUUGUACUGAGUAUUACAAAGGCUAAUAGAUUCAAAGUUCUUAAGGGUGGAGACAUUUGUGCACUUAGGGAUGAUACAGAGGUAAGUAGAGUUAACUCUUUUAUCCAUAGUGUAGAAAGAGGAGUCAUUAUAGAACUUGAUGAGAGGGUUGAUGUCGCCCAAAACUACAUUCCAAUUAGAAAUAUAAUGUGGUCGGUUGCAAAUAUAAUAACCCAACUAGGUUGGGGUUGAUCCCACAGGAAAAAUGUGAACAAUUGCUUGACUUGAUGUAAUCCUCGAGUAACAUAUGAAAGUAAAUAGGGGGAUCAUAGUAUCAAGCACAAGUAGUAACCAAACUCUUGAGUACUUUUGAGUUGUAGACAAUAUGAGAUAAACACUAGGUUUGUAUUUUCCCUGGCUUCUGAACUCUAUAAAUUUCUUGAGAGAUCAACCCAACUGUUCUGUUGUUCUACAUACAAAGUCUAUAAGAUAGGUAUUAUCAGUCACCUAGUGAGUGCAAAGAUAAAUUUCACCCUUUACCACGUAGGUCUCAGGGUGUCGCCUUGUUGUUUCUUGCUAUGACCUCAGUUCACUAUCAGGGGGUGGGACAAGUGAUUAGAUAAGAUGGCAAGAACUAAAAGGUAGAGGUGAAUCUCAAAUCACUGUCCUAAUCUUCUUUUUCCAAUCACAAUCUCCCUUGUAGGGAUGGAUGCGAAUACAUGCGAUCCUAAGUUACUGCAAAUAAUUGAGAUUAAUUAUUGUGAAGAAGAUUAAGAUACAUGUAUAAACUCUAGAAUAGAUAAGUUUCACAUUUUUCUACAUAGCUAAUCCACCAGGGUUCCCACAACCCUAGUCAAGGAGAGUAGCCGCUCAUGUUUGUGCAAGAAACCAUGAUUCUCACUAAAUAACACGUAAAAUCAAUUGCACAAGAAUAAGAUGAUUAAAAUCCAAAUUCUUUAAUUGAAUAAACCCUAAGAUCUCAAUAACAAUUGUAAAAGUAUUGUAAUAUUAUGUAAAAGAGAGUAACCUAAUGAAAGAUAAACUCUACGGCAUUUAUAGUAUCUCAAAAUAACAUUAAAAUCUUAAUAAAAAUGAGAAAGAUAAAGUUAUGUCGGCAGUUGGUACGACUAGGUCUUCACUCAGAUCAACUUCAUAUGAGUUGUACCCUGCCUUCUCGUAUCUAUUCCAGUGUCUCAUCUCCCAAGGCUUUAACUUCCUAUUCAGCUUACGACUUCUUCUUACGAGUCAUACCUGAGUGUACGACUCGCGUCCUUUACUCGUAUCCACAUGGGACUUUUGUCUUCUAAUCUUUGAGCAUUGGUUUGUAUACUACAUCCUUAUAUGAGUUGUACUCAGACGUUCGACUCAUAUACUUUUGAUACUUUAAUUCUUGAGCAGUAGCUUAGGUUUUGUUAUGCUUAUGACUUCUCCGUACGACUUGUAUCCUGUCUUAUGACUCAGAUACUUGAUUCGUAUCUUCCCCAUACUUGGCUCUACAGGUUGACCUUUGGUUUUGUCGUGAGUACGAUUUUGCCUACAAGUCAUAUCGGAUGGUUAUGAUUCAAGAGCUGACUAGUAUACUGCUCAAAGUUGGUCUUUUUCAGGUCUCUUUCUUUUUUUUUGGUUCAAACAUUGUAGUAGAACUGUUUUACCUGUAAUUCAUAUGAAAUACAUCAUAUCUAACAAAAUAUCCUAAGUUUACGCAUGAUUCACAGUUUUAAGUAUUGAAAGUGUCGUAUUUCCAUGCCAAAUCACGGGUGGCUAAAAGUUUCCCAAAAAAUUUAAAAGAUCAAGAGGUGGAGCCCAUCUAAACCAAAAGCUUUAGAGGGAUUGAAGAAGAAGACAACACUCUUGAUCUCUCUUUAACUAGGAAUGCUUCAAGAAGAAGAUGGUCCUCCAUAGGGAUGGAUACAGUGGAUGAAGGUUUAUUUUAGCAAAGGAGAGGGGAAGACAAGUGUUCAGAAGUGAAGAGUUUAUUAUAGAAGGAGAUAAUGGUAUUAGUGAUUUUCCUUUCAUCAUAAAUCCAAUUGCUAGAGUUAUCUCUAAGGCCCUGGAUUUUUGUUUUUUCUCCUCAUAUUAAGGGUGGUACUAUGGAAAAUUUAGUGUUUGAGUCCCCUUUUAUAAGAUAGUUGAUUCUGGAUUUUAGUUUCUAAAAUUCCCAUUCUUGUUAGAAGAUGUCACUGUAGUCUUUAAAGAAGGUGUUUUUAAGGUUAUGAAGGAAGGAACUAGUGGAAUAGUGCAUGGAUUUUUGGAUACCAACAAUUCUGACAAAAGUAUUUUUUUUUCUUAUUAAAACAUUGCCAAAAAACCUCUUUAUUCUAAAUUUUGAUGGAGGUCUGAAAGUUAGAAGUAAAAUUGCAAAGAUACAUAUCUUUAGAGAAAGAGUUUUGGACCAUGUCCUUGAACAGCAGAUGGGUCCACCAUAUGAUCUCAACUCUAAAAGGUUUGUUAGAAGUAUUAGUAUCCUUGGAAAGACUAAUGAGAAGAGGACAGUGGUCAGAGUGGGUCCUACAAAAAUGAGUUAUAGAGGCUUCAGGAAAGAGAUGGAUCUAAGAAUCAUUCAUAAAGAAUUUAUCAAGGCUGUCAAAAAUAAGAUCACUCUUCUUUAUAUAUCUCUUGUUAUUCCAAGUGUAUUUACUACCAAUAAACCCAAGGUCAGUUAGGCUACAAGGAUUGAUCCAAUUCUAAAAGUAGGAAACUCUGUUGCUAUUUAUGGAGUUGCCCCCAUACUUAUUAAAAGCCUUAAGGAUUUCAUUGAAAUCAUCCCUAAUAAUCUAGCUAUAGUUAGUAGAGUUCCUAAUACUAUCAGCUAUGUGAGAGAGUUGAUUCCAUAAGAAAAUUCUAUCAUUAAAAGAGUUGAUGGGAUAAAUAGUACUAAGGAACUAUUUAAAGAGAGGAGAGUGGACCUAAACAAAUCCAUGGAUAGCUUGACUGAAGAUGGAGAAACUAAUUAUGCUAAGGGAUCCAUCCUUCCACAUAAUGACAAUGCCUCUAGAGUUACUAAUGGUAGAGUGUUGGAUAUAGUUUGAGAAGCCAAGAUCUUUAAUGAUGCUUUUAUAGCCAGUCAUUCUAGUUUUCAGAAGAACAAGCAUAGAGGGAUGGUGAAUUUUAAUAAUGAAUUUGCAUUGCCUUCUAAACUCAAUAUUAUUUUCCCCGGUAUUCUAUACUAUGCAGUUCAUCAUCAUUUAGUGGUUGAGUUUUGAGAUUUUCUCUGGACUUUCUUGCUCUUUCCCCUUUAGUUGGAAGUCUAUGGAUUCUAUAGUUCUUUUCUCCUUUUUGAUAGUGGUUUUACCUUUACUAUGAAGGUUUCCACUAUCAUUGGUCUUGGGAUAAGAAUGACCAGUUUUAAUUUGGUAAGGUCCAGAGGGAGAAGAAUAAUGACUAAUUUUUGGAUGAUUUCUGUGAACUCUAGAGUUAGUAUAUCUAUCUUUGGAACUUUUGAGCUUUCCAAAAUACUUCCUAUUUCUCUGUUAUUUUCUCUCAGUAUGUUUAGGUUUUUGUCUCCUUCCAUCAUUUACAGAGCUAAUAGAGAGGUUGAUAUUAGAGUCUCUAUUGGGGGUUCGGGGGGGGGGGUCUCUAUUAAUUUUCAUAAAAAUUGAUCCCUUAGAUAGAAGUGUUGGCUCACAUAAGGGAAGAAUGUCAUGGACUAGCUUAUCAGGUUUAUCUGCUCUGAUAAUGAGGCUGUGGUGAGGUCCCCCUGAAAGGAGUGACUCAUCACUUGUAUGAGAGUCGAGAUCCAUACAUUGUUUCUAUAACUUAGGAGUUCUUAGUUUAGAUAAGAUGCUGUCACUUGGUCUAAGUAAGCAGGAUCUUGGAUGAUUACUUUUAUGGGAUUGUGCUCCAGUCCCAUGUUUAGGGAGAGAUAUUGAGUUUGGAGACCCAUUUUGAUCCAUGUGGAGGAGAGGUAUCUAAAAGUGGUUCCCUUAUGAUAAAUGUGACUAGAGGAAGAAGGGGAUUUGAGAGUGAGGAAGGAAUAGUCAUUAAGAGGAGUAGAGGUUUGAGAGCGGUGAGAUAGUACAGAGGGGAAUCUAGUUUUCAGAGGUAUCUUUCUUCUUUCUCAAAUUUUAGUAACUUCAAUAUUUAAUGUUGAGGGAGAUAAAGUGACUAUAUCCAUAAAAUCCCCAGUGCCUGCUAUGCCACACACUGAUAUUUCACUUGGAAAAAAAGACAGACGUUUGGUUACCAGAGAGAGACAGAGUUAAAAAAAUUUAGGGUGUUCAUUACACCCAUUAUUACUAUUAUUCUUGUUGUCUUUUUUAAUAUCACGAGAAGAAGAAUAAUUUACUUAAGGCUUGGAAUUCUUUAGUAGAAAGAGUAAUAUUGAGAUUACUAUUCAUCUUCGAAUAGUUGGUGUUUGGAUGUCCCAUAGAGAUUGAUUAGAUUUUUGGCCUUCGGAUAAUGUUUUAGGACUUUCUAUGUCAAUGAGCCUUUUCCUAUUAGAAACAAGAUCUGACCUAAUAUAUAAGGGUUUGGUAAAGUUGGUCUGGUUGCUUUGCCCAUUUGACUUAUAGGUGUUGGGCCUAUUUCUAUUGAAAUUUGAGGCUGGCCCAAUAGAUUAGCCAAGAAUCCCUUUCUCUUUUGAGUUAGGUCUGACAUUUAUCAGUUUAAUGCGAAUGUUUGACCUCCAACAAGCUUGGUCAAGCCUGGGCUAUAAGCAUAAUUAUGGGUUUCAAAGAACUUUAUGGGUUUCCAAGCACUUACUUUAAUCCGCAUCGAAGAGUUUUAUCUUGAUUUUCUAUUGAGAGUCACUUGUCUUGUGUAUGUUUCCUUUUUUGUCUUGUGACUCUAUCUUCGUUCUUGGGUGAAAGUCAUAGUUUUCCCAUCUCCAUCUAUUUUUUAUCCACUAGUAGUUUGUCCUACCAAAGGAAUGCUAAUGGGUUUGUGGGGAAUAUUAGACUAGUAUACUGUAUUGGAGCCUAUCUUGCCAAAGAAGUGUCAAGAUUUUAUGGGGGCAUCUUAGACUAGUGUGACCCAAUCUACUGCACAAUUUGAAGAGGAUCCUUUCACGCUCAUAGAAAACUAGAUGCUUGUGAUUUUCAAUGGUGACAGAGGUUUUUACAAGCGUUUCUAUUGGAAUUUGUAUGCAUAUUAUUGUAUAUCUGCCUCUCAAGGUCUAGGAGGUGCACAUGUUGAUCUUAACAAGCUCUUUAGUUUUCUCCUUAUUUUUUAGAUUUUGUUUAUCAUAAAACUCGAUAAAGAGAGCUAGAAAUCAAACAUGAUAAUGAAGGAGAUCUGGGAUUCAUUUGUGAUGAAGUUUGGUUCCUAAUUUCUUCUUGUGAGGAAACUACACGCUACAAACCAUGGUCCUCCUUGUAGUGCCUUGAUGCGGCUCUCUUGAGUGUUGAGUUUUACAGUGUAAAAAUCAGAAGCCAAAUCUAUUAGGUAGAAAAUUUUUCAUUGAGUUUUCAGAGAUCUGAGAGUUUUGUAUUGAGGUACUGAUGAUUGAAUUUCCUAUUGAAAGCUUUGAUUAUUACAGAGAAUCUCCACAGGGCAUAUAGUAUUUUUUUCAAUCGAAAGUGUUUUCAGGUUAUCGUUCAUAUCUAGAUUGAUGAAGUUCCCUUCUAUAAAAUUUGCGGAGUUUGAAAUUUCAUGGAGAGUGUUUAGUAUGAAAGUAAGUUUCUUUGCCUCCCCAUCAAUUGUGACUAGGUCUAUUGGAUCUGGUGGUUUAGGUGGAGAGUUUUUGUCUACCGCUGGACAUGAUAAGAAGGUUUAUCUUUAUUUUUUUCAAAAAAGUUUGGUUUUUUCAAUAGGAAAUUGCUUAUCUCAGCUUCUUUUAUUAAUGAAUUUGUAUUAUGAUAUAUUUUAGGUUCUAAUUUGGGAGUUGAAAAAUAAUAAUUUUAGUAGUAGAGAAGGUCAUACUCAUGAAAUUACAGAUGUUCAUUUUAGACCAAAACUCAAUGGUGUUUACAACAUCUUCUCUUGACAGAAUUGUGAAAAUAUGGGAUGCAGACGAGGUACUACCACUAUUGCCAUAAUGAUAGCUUUCUAAUAUCUUGAAUUUAUUUCUUUUAAUUUGUGUCCAUUACAACCAUGAAAUCGUACAUAUAUUACCAUUUUGUCAUUAUCCAGCCAAGCAACAGGGUUCAAAAUUUUGUUGGCCAUGAUGAGCAAGUGAUGUCAAUAGAUUUUUAUCCAACAAAGAUAAGUCUCAUCAGUUCUUGUGAACGAAAUGAUGAGAUUAGAUUGUGGGAUGUCACUAGGGACGAUUGCAACCUCAUUCUUAAGAUUGGUGCCUCUAUUUCCUUCCUUUUUGAUUUUUAGAUGUUCAUAAAGAGGUAUCUUUAUUUGACAUAGGAAGACUUCUUAAUUUGGUAGUUAGCUAUUUUUCUAUUUCUAUUUCAAUUUGGAGAUUCCUUAGUUACCUCAUUCAAAAUUAUUUUUGAAUUUAUUUUUCUUUAAUUUCUAUAUUUAGUGUAGGAACUAUUUUUCAAAUUAUUCUUUCUUUUUCAUUUCAAGAAAUUUAAGGUUUUCAAAAUUUGUAGUUAGUGAUCACCGAAUACUCAUGCAAAAAGAUAUUUUAGAAAAUAAAAGGGUUUCACCAUAGUAUUUGAACCAACAUUCAUAUCACAUUAAAUAUCACAUUGUACAAUAUUCUAAACAACAUACUUUGUAGGGAAUUAGGUAUUAUUCAUUCACCAUAAAAGAUAUUAAUCGCUCUUGAUACAAAUGCAGGAAGGUAGUACACAAGUUAGAUUUCAACCUCAUUUGGACACCUUUAGGCAAGUUCUACCAAAAAUACUUUAAAUAUCUUUUAUAUCGAGACUAACAACAUCAAAUAAAAGUUACAACUAAGAUUCUUACACUUGUUCAUUGGUCAAACGUGUUUUAAAUUUCUUACAUGUUGCAUUACUAUAUUGUAAUAGUGUGAUGUUGGGUUUAUUUGGUUUAUAAGGACACGUCAAAAACAUCUGUUCAAUUUGUUGGGAUAUGAGUGGAAAUUACUUAGCAUUUGUAAGCAAAUAUAGUGCACAAAUAUGGUCUAUAUGUGAAGGAACGUGCAUAUCAGAAUUGUUCUCUAGUGAGAAUUAUUUAGCGGUAAUUUUGACUUUUUAAGAGUCGCUACUUAAUUUAUUUGAAAAGAAAUUAAGAAAACCUUUAAAAGUUACUUAAAUGAUCCAAAACAAAAAAAUUAUUUAAGUUUGAAGAUCCUGAGUAAGCAGUUCCUAUUAAUACUCUUGGAAGGUUGUUAAGGCACCAAGAGUAUUCGCUAACUUGCGGUUAUCCGGACUGUUUGAAAAUAUCUUUUGACUAACUUCAAAAAGAAAGAUUGAUUGUUAAAAAGUAAUUGAUUUUAGGAAAAGACUUGUGUAAGAUAUAUUUGGACGACCUAGUAGGGAUUUUAACUAAGUCUAAACAAAUUAAUAACAAAGCAUGUAAAAGGGAAAAGGGAGAAAAUAAAAGACUUAUGUCAUUGGACCCAAAUCAAUAGACCCUGUCCAAAUCUAAUUGGGAUUUUGUCCUACUUGCACCCGUCCUAAUCUAAAUAUUGGGCUUUCGUUCCACAACCUGUCCUAAGCUAGUUUUCGGACCUUUGAGGCCCAAAAUUCAUCUCACCUGUAUUAAAAUACAACUUUGGCUUCAAGGCCCAAAUGAAUGAAUAAAUAAAUGACUAAAUGAAUAAAUAAAAAGAAGACAAUAAUAAAAAAUAAGACUUUUCAAGUCUCUUAGUGACCUUAUCAAUGGAUUUUGACUCAUUUUCCUUCUUCGUCUAUCUUCUAGCACCCGCACGCCAUGUAGUGGGCCUUGGGUUUAAACUUCGGAAUUGACUCAAAGAUGUGAGCCUCAUUGACCUAUUACGAAAUGCAAGAGGAGAGGAGUCCAUUUGAACUCGAGAUAUUUUUUACUUGCAAAGAAAAGAUAAAGAACUUAAUAUACGUUCAAGGCAUAAUAGUUACAUAUUUCAAAGCAAAAGAAAAUAUCAAGAAUCAAUUUUUUAGUUACAAUGAUAUGCACAGUUGCACACGUAUAACAAGAGUGAGAGUCAAUUGAUAAAAUGCAAAGCAAAGACAUCCACUUGCACGCCUCAUGAUUUUUGUUCAUAUUAAGAAUGAAUAAAGGUAAAAGGAAGAAGGUCAUAUUCAGUGAAUUAAUGCGAGAAACAAACAACAUAAGAUUGCGAAAUUAAAGGGAUGGGGCAACAAGAAAAAUACUCAUAACUUCUAAAAUUGAACAAAUAUAGACACUAAUCCAUAUAACAAAAAAAAAUAAAGGUUAACUUUUCAAGAAAGAGAAUCUUUAAAUUUCAAUUAAGGCGACAUUAACAAAAAUUUAUACAUCUAAAUUACAACCAACAUUUUAUGGAAAAGCAUAUAACGACCUAUGGUUUAUAUUUCUAAGACAUCGUUGAUUCUCUUUGAUAUUAUGAAUAAAAGAGAGACAUGAAUCAAGUCUUUACACACAAAAAGAGCACAUAUAAUAAUCCGGAAUAAGAAAAUAAGAAUAAAAGUUUAGCAUCUCUAAAAUUGAAAUAUCGUUCAACAAUCAUACUAUGCAUGAGUCAAAAAUAUCCAAAUAAUUCUAUUUAGCCACAAAAGUCCGAACUUUCUCAUCAUUUUGACAAGACAACAUGCGAACAAAAGAGGAAUAAACAUCUUGGUGGAAAAUAAAGCUAGCACUUCAUCUCUUAUAUGAGGAUUUUGAAAUUCAUUAAAAUAAUUAGCAAACAAAUGACAAAUUCUUGACUUAACUAAUUACUAUUUUUAUUAAGGCGAAACAAACAAUAAUAAUUAUUUUUCCAACAUAAAAGAAAUAAUUUUACAUGCUAAAACAAACAUAUCCACCGACAAUGAAUUUAAACAAGGCAUGAGUUCGUCUUUUGAGCAAAGAUCAAAACUUUAUACAUAACAAUCAAAGAAUAAAGUCAAAAAGAAAAACAAUCAAUAUUAACUAUUCUUUUUAACAUAAAGAAAAUAACUUUACUUGCUAAAAACAAACAUAUCCACCAACAAUGAGUUUAAACAAAGCAUAAGUACAUAUUUUAAGCAAAGAUUGAAACUUUACUAUAAUAAUUAUAGAAUAAAGUCAAAAAGAGCAUGUACAACUAUUGCUAGCUCAUUUUUAUAUCAUGAACAUGAAAAUAAUAAAAAUAUCGAUACCACAACAUCCUAUGGCCUUCAAGGCCAUCUACAACAAACAAUCACAUCAAACAAAAUUAUAACUAUGAACUAUGAAGAAGAGAAAGAUGAAGAAUAAAACAAUAAUAAAACUAAAAAGAAAAAGGAAAGGUGUGUUUACCUUUAUGGGGGUAGCAAAACGAGACUACGAGCUUCGUCAGAAUCAACCACCACCUAAAAAAGUCGCCGGCAAGUCAAAAAUUUUGAUUAGCCGACCAACUCUAUGAAACAAAAUUUUUUACUAAAUAAAAAUAACUAUUUUGCUCAAAGGUCUUUUUCACCUUUCUAGCCUUUUUUUUUACUUUUCAACCCUUCUUUCUACCAAAGUAGUGGUAGUAUUUAUAGGAGAGAAUGAAGUUUUAUUUCAUUUCCUCCACUAAUGUGGGAGAAAAGUAUUUAUAGGAAAGGAUGAGAAUUUAUUUCUUUUCAUCCAUCAAUGUGGGAGAAAAGACAUUUAGGGGUGUUUUUGGAUUUUAAAAUUGAAGAUAAGGUGAAGUGAAAGAUAAUGUAUGUGUGUGUGUGUGUGGGGGGGGGGGGUUUCUUGGUCGUCUUCAUCCUCAUCUUACUUAGGAGCUCAAUAGCCUCAGUCUGUGUUAUAGACUGAGUAAAAUCUGUCCACUUUCCCCACUGUGACUUUUCUGUAAUCUAUAUGCCUAUCUUAGCCAUAAUAAUAGCUUCAACAACCUUCUUCUUUCCUAGUCACUGUCCCUGAUGCUUUGGUUGGGGCCGCUUUGUUCGGGGCUGUUCUGGUAUGGGCAAGUGCAUAUUCCUCCUUUGAGCUACCACUCUAGGAAGAUUCAGCCUGUUUCCUAGAAGCUGUGGAUAUCUUCUUUAAAUACUUAGGAUCCGUAUGUAUCUAAAAAACCAAGUUUUAGUAUUCAACAACUAAUAUUUUGAUAAUAAAUUAUAUUAAAAUUAAUAUUUUAAUCAUCAUAUUUAUUUUCAAAAUAAUCCUUAAUUAAAAUUCAAUAUUCCAUGGAAUAAAUAUUUAACUAAUUAAAUUAUAUAAUCUCGUAUAACUGAACACGAUAAUAUAUAAUUGCUACUUAAAAUGACAAAAUUACCUAUAAAAAAUAUGUUGGAAAAAAAAAUUAUUCGGAUGAAAUAAAUAUUUCAAUUUUAUUAAAAAUCGAAGAAACUCAAGAUUAAAUUUAGUUGUGGAGGGAAAAAAAUUAGGUUUUAACAACUAUCCCCUCCUUUGGGAGGGUGGAUGCAAGUAACCUUAGGCAAAGGGAGGUUGACGUUCCUAAUUUUUGUCCGACUACAAAUUCAAAUCUGAAAGAAGUUGGCUUUCGCAUGAGUUUGAUAGAGACAUGGCCGGACCUUGGUAUCAGGUUUUCUAUAUAUCUCAAGUUACAUGAGAAUUUAGGCCACUUGUAGUUCAUAAAGCUUGAUUUAAAGCACGACUUUCAAAAAAUUCACCAGCUAUCUCGAUUUUUAGAAUUUUUAACAAAACUAAAAAGUUAGGAAAUAGAGGGAUUUCGGGGAAUGUUGGAAUGCAGCCAAGUUUUUAAAAUAUUUCCCAACCUACAUAUCCCCGAGACUCAAGGAAUCAGACUACUUGUAGUUCGACUCAAUCGGUAGAAAAAAUAGUCUUUUAUUUCAGAUGAUCUUUGACUCGGGAUGAGCGACAAGUUGAUUGAGUUGCAAAAAAGAGGCUUGUAACCUCUUAACCAUGAACGUGGGAUCCUUCACAUCCAUAGGCAAGAACUUACCUAGACAUAAUUUUCAAAACUCUAGGUUUACUAUCACUCGAAUUUGAAAGAAAGAGAAGGUUAUCCUCGGUAUGAGUUUAGAAAUAUCCCGAAGGUGAAGCUGAAACCAGAAUAUCCUAAAAUACCCACAUUCCUUAUAAUAGGGGUAUGGUUGGAUGGUGGUGGUGAUCAUCUUUUAGUUCGCGUCUAAAGAGUUUGACGUUUCUCUCUAGACUAUAUCCCAUUUUGCUGCUAAGAAGGAGUUCCAUGUCGUGCUAUGUCCUAUCUAGAGUCGUCCGCACCUGUCAUUUUGAUUUGAGAUUUUCAUCCCCUCGGAUGCUCUUGGCAAUGUCUCAAACAAAAAUCGUUAGUUAUAAACAUAAUUCAUGAAAGAGGUAUAUAGUCUUUACCAUAUCUCCACGUGAGUUGUCGCCUGAAAAGCAAAGUCAUCCUUUCAUGUACUUGUUUGGAAGGAAAUAACUUGAAAUAACAGAUACAAAAACCCUCUUGGUUUUUUCAUAAUCAGACUAUUUAUCAGUUGAUAUGUCUUUAAAGUAGGAUGGCCCUUUUGGACAUCGCUGACACUUUAUGUAGAAUGGUCCCUGCAACCGUGUAAUCUUAUGCUAAUGCGACAACCUUUAGGUCACCUAUAAUUCUUGUCGUAUGUAGAAUUAUAACAUCUCUGGCUAUUGACAAUGUUUUUUUCCAUGUGACCCUCGGGUAAGUCUUGUGCAUCUUUUGUAUCGAUACAACUUACAGAUUUCCCUUAAAUUGUUAAUUUUUGGAUAAUCUCGCGUAUUAUUUGAUGUUGGAUACAAGGCAACUUACAGAUAUCCUUUGAAUUUCUAGCCUUUAGGUAAUCCUGCACAUUAUCCGACCUUCGAUAAGAUAUGGCCUAUAGAUAUUCCUCCAACUGAUAGUUGUUAGGUAUUCCUACACAUCAUCCAACCUUGGAUACAAUAUGACUUAUAGAUAUGUCUCAAAUUGCUAGUCUUUGGGUAAUCCUGCACAUAAUCAAUUAUGAUGUUCCGCAGAUUAUAGAGAACCCUUGGACUUAUCAAUUUAACAAUCUUGCAUAUUCUUCGGUAAGGAUUUAGUUACGACUUACGGAUAACCUUCAGACUAUCAAUUUUUGGAUAACCUUGCACAGUAUCUGAUUAGGAUAUUGUUGCGGAUUAUGAAUGACCUAUGGGCUAUCAACUCAUAGGUAAUCUUGCACACUAUCCUAUUUCAAAUAAUAUGACUUAUAGAUGACCCUUAGAUUGUCAAUUUCUAGAAAGUCUCAUAUGUCGUUCGCUUUUAGAUAGAAACUUAAAGAUGCCCCUUUGAAUCACUUGAUUUUGAUACAUUUAGAUGCUUAUUCAUAAAAUGAUGAGAUAUUAUUGAAGUCAACGUAUGCUAUCUUAUAUGUUAAUAGAUAUUAGAUGCUAAUGAUAUCCUCGACGCCAGCGUAUGCUAUCUCGCGUGCCAACAGAUAUUAGAUGUUAAUGAUAUCCUCGAUGCCAACAUUUAUGUCUCACGUGUCAAUAAAUAUUAGAUAUUGAUGAUAUCCUCGAUGCUAGCAUUUGUGUCUAACGUGUCAAUAGAUAUUAGAUGCUGAUGAUAUCCUCGAUGCAAUGUUUGCUAUCUUACAUGUCAACAAAUAUUAAAUACAUUGGUCCUCUUGGCAAUGAAAUGAUAUGAAAUAGCCCUUUUGGAAAUGGCAUAAAAUGGAUCUCUCGGUGAUGAUAUGAAAUGGCCCUCUCGGUAAUAGCAUUAAAUGGCCCUCUCGGCAAUGGCAUGAGAUGGCCCUCUUAGAAAUGAGAUGAAAUAGUUCUUCCGAUGGUUUGAAAAUAGUUUCACCUGAGUCUGUUUUUCUGCAUUUUACUUUCUACAUGUACCUGUACUCAAGGUAGAUAGUUAGUAGACAUAAUAUUGCUCCCACUGGCGACCACAAUCAAGCUUUAUGAUAGUUUAAUGACAAAUACUGAGCAUCAUAAUUUGAAUGACUUAUUCUGCUAUUAAUCUUGUCUCUUUGAAGAAAUAAUUAAAUAGCAGAUCCACCGAAUGCAAGUAAAUGGGGCAAAAUCCUUGUUUAGAGACUACUCAAAUACUGUUUGCUUCACUUCAAGGCGAAUUUUGAGGAUGACUUUUGGCUCUUCCUCCUGUUGAGUAAUACUUUGAUUGUUGUAUUUAUUGUGCCAAUUUUCUUGAAUGCACCUGCACUUAAAGUAAAUAUUUAAUAGUCAUAAAGCCGCUUAUGCUAGAGACUCCUUUUAUAUAAAGAAUUCCAAAUACAAUAUUCAUAAAGUAGAUAAGGCAACUUUGUUUGUCCUUUAUGGUCUAAAGAAAUAAGAUAGACAUUUCAAAAGGUCCUCAAUAAAUGGAUAUUAAGCCCAUCUUCGGGGCUAUCCGAAAAUACCGUUCUUGAGCAUUAUGUGCAUAGGAGUAGAUCACAAUCGCUUGGGGGUUUUCUGAAAAAGAUUUUCAUCUUUGUAUAUUAAUCCCUACAUCUACAGAAAAACAGUUAAUUUUGAGUGAAACUACUCCGUGUUGACCUUCUUCGGUCCUUUAUUUGCUCCUCGUCAUCUUUUGGGUACUCCAUCAUGUUGAGACUUCCAUCUUGACUCUUCAUUCCAAUAGAUGUCUAUGAAAUUACUAAAUAAAAUAUUCGUAUUGAUUUUCAAAAAUAGUCUUAUUUUUAGAAACGAGUUUUAAAACUUCUACAAAAGAUUUAGAAAAUCUCUGCCAGUCAUGUCAUGUACCAGCUCAAUGAACAUCUUUCUGUUGGUUUUGACUAUAUCCGAUGGAAGAUUUUCAAAACUUAUCAUCAUUGUUGAGGCUUUCUAUCAAAAGUUUUGUCUAGCCGAAGAUUUAGUCUAACUAGACUUUGUCGCAGAUGGUGACUUCUAAAGAUUGACUUUGACCUCUGGUGCUAGGGAAUUUGAAAUAUAUUCCAAUAUAUUAGUGGAAAUUUUGAGGACCUUCUCAAAAUUUAUGCCCCAGUUUAAGGUUGUUUGAGAUGAUAUCAGCCCGUGAGGAUCCAAAGUCUUUCUUAGUCUUCGUUCUCUUUGUUUUUGGAAGAUGAUCUUUCUCUUGUGAAUUUUUGAGAUUCCUUCUCGAAAAUUAUGCCCCAGUCUCAUUUCCUGGGGUUAUAUGACCGAGCCAUUGGGGCUCCUACAUAUUCCGUUGAAGUAGGAAUCAGGUCAAACGUAGUUCAAGACAACAUUGGGGAUACAUAUAAAAUUCUAAUGGGUUGACCGAAGCCGACAUAGGCCUCCUACGUAUCUCAUUCUUGAGAAUUCAGGUCAUCACAAAGUUCAUACAUAAAUGGAAGGGAUAAAUUAUCCUAAGGGGUUGACCGAAGCUGACUUAGGCCGUCUACGUAUCCCUUUUUUAAGAAUUUAGGUCAAACGUAGUUUGUAUAUGAGCGAAAAGGAUAAAUUUUCCUAAAGGGUUGACCGAAGCCAACAUAGGCCGCCUACGUAUCCCAUUCUUGGGAAUUCAGGUCAAACGUAGUUCUUACAUGAAAGAAAAGUAUAAAUUUUCCUAAGGGGUUGACCGAAGAUGAGAUAGGCCACCUACGUAUCCCUUUCUUGGGAAUUCAGGUCAAAUGUAGUUCGUAGAUAAAGGAAAAGUAUUCUAGGAAAUUACACAACAUAAAACAAAUACUAUCAUAAAGGCGAUUACAAAUGAACCAAGGAAAUAAAAGUAAAACACCAUUCAAACAUAAUAUCUCUUUACCGCAUCAAAAUUGUGUAUGCUUCUGCUAAGUGAUCACUAACACUUGUCUCUUUGAUUUCAUCAUGAUUGCCCAAGUUGACUAUCUCAGUUUUGUCCAAGUUGGGUUUUUCUCAGUUUUUCAAAUUCCUCUAUAUCUUCCACUAACUGCUCUUCAUCACCUUUUUCUAUUCACUAUCAUUUCCCUCACUUUGUUCGUCUAACACUUGUCAUGACAUAACAUUAGCAGGUUUUAAACUACUGCUACCUAUUGAUCGGGGAGUAAUAAGUGAACUGAAAGUCCAAUUCAGCAAUGUUUCUUCCAAUUCAUCUUUCUUGAUUCUGGUUGUCUUGAAAAAAUCUUCCCUCACAUUUUUCUUAUUUCAUCCUCGAGACCAUCGCUUAUAGGUUUUGAAAAAUGAUUGGUAGAGUCCAGUUUUAUUACUAGUCAUUUUUAUUUUGCUGUAAAAAUGCUAUAGUCAAGAGGGGGAUCUUUUGUUCACUUUGAUCUAGUCAAGUAGGGUCAUUUUGUGCCAAGACAGAGUAGUUUCUAUUACCUGUAAAGUAAAAACAACUCAAACGCUGACGUGUUAGAUUUUGUUAGUAAUAAGUAAAGCAAGAAGAUAAGGUAGGAAUUAAACACAUAAAGUUUUUUCUUAUCUCACGAAUUGAUCCAUGAAGUAAUGAUGACUUGAGAAUUUCAAUGAACAAGAUUUUGCUCAAUAUAUGGAUAGGUGGAAUUUGUCAGGAAGGUUCAACUCUUAUUCUUCCUUCAAGAAAGUGGAGGACAACAGAGUUUUUGAAGAUGGGGGCCAAAAAGCUACCUACGUAUCUCACAGACGAGAAAUCAAGCCCUACAUAGUUCGAAACUAUAAUGGCUUUUUUUGAUUCUAAAGUCAACUUUACUAAAAUGGUAGAGAUCAUUUUGGAAGUUUAAAGAAUGAUUGCAGACUUUUCUGAGAAACUUAGGAGACUUGGAGUAGGUUUGGUCGGACAUUUGUAUAGUGGAGUGUAUUUCUGCCUAGAGAUGUUCUAUGGAAAAUGGGAUUGGAUCAAUUCGCCUUUAAUUCGAAUCAAUAUAACACGUAUAAGAGCAUAAAUAGUAAUAUUACACAAGCAUAUUGUAUAAAUAUGCAUCCUAAUUGGGUGACCCUUUUGAGCCAAGGGUUUAGGCCUAAUGAAUUUUGAAUAAAAUAUACGCCUUUUUAAAGUCAAUCCAUUAUCCCCAAAAGUCUUCAUAGGUAUAUAUAAAUGACAUAAAUGUCUACAAAAGUUGCACAAAAAGGAUAUGAUUUUUAGGAAAAGGGAAAAUAACAUGAAAAAAGGAAUAAUGUCCUGCACAGGGGAUGGGAAAUACUAGUUCCUGAAUGCUCUUCUAUUGACCUUUGCCCUCUUAUCUUUGUCCACUUCUUGUCACUGGUGAGAUCCAUUGAUGGUCAAAUGAUUUAUGUAUAGUUGUUCCCUAGAUGAAACCGUCCAAAUCGAUCAAUUUCUUUCUUGGCUUGCUUCAAUUCCUCUCUCAAUUGGUGUAUGAUUGAGGUAUCCUUACACGAAAGUAAGAAAAGUAAGCUAUCUCUGGAUUAAAUAAACAUAUAUUUCUGCAAUACAUAAUUAUGAUUCAUCUGUAAUUGACUCGGGGUCAAUAAACACAGGGAAGGUUUUCUAAUGGGCCCAAUACCCCCUCGGGUAUUGGGUCAUCCUAGGCUCGUGCCUAAAAUAAGAUUUUGGUUUCGCUCAAUCCUAGGUAUCUAGAGUGGGUUUGAGCCAGGUUCCAAGUGGAUGACUUGGGUUUAAAAAUAUGAACAACCAUUAGAUGACUCACGUGCUAAUAAACCAUCGUAUUUCCAACACUUUAUUUGGAGUUAAACAAUCGGGGCUGGGACAUCCACGCAAUCCCAAAAUAAUUUAAUAAUCAAUGUAGAAUUAUCUUAUGAGAUGUAAUAAUUAAAUUUCACAAAAUCGAAACAUAUAAACACGUAAGAAAUUUAAUUAGUUAGUCAAAAUAUAAAAUCAAACAUUUGGUUAGAACCUAGUUAAAUAUCCCUAGAAGAAACGCUAUUUCUAUUUUGCCAAAAAUUUUGACUUUUGAGAGUUGCCAGUUAUUUGAAAAGGAAUUAAGAAAACCUUUAAAAGUUACUUAAACGAUCCAAAACAAAAAAAUCAUUUAAGUUUGAAGAUUCUGAGUAAGCGAUUCUUAUUAAUACUCUUGGAAGGUUGUUAAGGCACCAAGAGUAUUCGCUAGCUUGCGGUUAUCUGGACUGUCACACCCUUUUUUACCAAAAAGAUUAGAUUUUAAAGUUUGAAAGGGUUUUUAUUACUAAAGUGACAAAAUGAAGCUUUGUUCCGUAAAAGGAUUAUUUUUACAUUCAAAUCUCAGAGUUGCCACUAGGAAUAAUCCAGUGUGCCAAGUCACCUUUGGACAAUCCUUUUCAAAAUGGUUUUGACUUUUUAAAACCGAUCCACAAACAAAGAUUCCGGCUAAGGAAUUCUGUUGAUCGAGGGAAAGGUGUUAGGCACCCCUUGAUCAUAUGGUUCGACAAUGGUCUCUUGGUGGAGUAUAUCGGCUCGUAGACAUCAUAAAAUGAAUAAACCAACACACACACAAACAAGAAAAACAAUCAACCAAACAAUCAAAAGUCCAAAAAAUAAUGUCCAGUCCAAUUUAUUACAACCCAAAAUAAAAUGCUGAAAUUAAAAUCUAAACUAUUCUAACUAUCCUAGCUAUGCCUUACCCGAUGCCUCGAGCCGUCAUUACGAGCCUCAUUUGCAUACAUGAUACGUCAGGGCAUUCCCCGAUAAAUAAAUAUAAAUGACCUUGGGGCAUUCCCCGGCUAAAUGAAUACAUUUUUUUAGUGCGAGAAAAUCAAACCAUUCAACAAAAUUUCAAAAAUUCAACAAAACCACGAAUUCUAAACUUUGCCUACCCAACCUACAUUUGCCUACCCAUUCGACCUAUCAUGAUACUAUCAAGUUCGAUAAUAUAGUGUCCAUUUCAAAAUAAACAACAAUUAAAGAAUUAAACUAACUGACAUCCACCCUUUUUAUCAGUUUUCCAUUCACACCCCAUGAUUAACAAAUUUCAAUUUAAAAUCAACCAAUCACGUUAAGAUAUUACGGAGAAACUCAAACACAUUCAAACACAUCACCAAAUCAUAUCAUCAAACACGUUAAGAUAAUACAAGAGUAGAGUUAAGAAUUUGAACCUCAAAAUAAUAAAUUUCUAUUGAUAAUAACGAGUUAACAAGGCACGAACUCGAAAUCCUGAAUAAAAAUCUAAAUAGCGACCAAAAAUUCAACUCGGUAUCGAGAAAUAUAACCCGAAGAGAUUUGUCAUCGACGAAAAAACGCCAAAUCAAAAAUUUCCAAUUGUCCAUAACCUAACCCACUGGAAUCAAAGCUAGUUGGCCAUUUGUACCUCCCCAGAGCUCCGACAGACCACUUAGCCCACGAAUUGGGGUCUCUCUCCAGCUAAAUCUCAUCGAAAAAAUCCAGAAAUAGAAAAGGAAAGGGGAUUUCAUAGAGCUGCGAGUGACGGGAUUUAACGGGUGAGGAUGAGUGUUAUUGGAUGUCUAUUUCUGUGUGUGUAUUCUCGAAGGAGAAGGAAAAAUAGAGAUUAGCAGUGUGUUUGUGCAGAAUUGUGUGGGUGGUGUUGUGUAUUGUUUUUUGGUCAAUGAUGAGGAUGAUUGUUAGGUGAAUGUGUAAGUUAGUAAGUAGGAUUGGAUGGGGAUAAGGGUGAGGGUAGGGGUAGGGUAGAGAGAGGGAAAAAUGAGAAAAAUUUAAUUUUUGGACGGACAAAAUUACAUGUCUACAUUAAGCCCCUCUUUGGAUGUAAAUGCAAAGUGUUUUCAGAUAAAGAAGUAGACAACGAGACAAAAUUUUGACCGACCAUUAUUCAGAAGAAAGAAACACAAGGAAGGAGGGCAAUCGAGUCUUGAUUUUGCUUUCCUACCUAUCCUGAGUUAUGAGAGAUUCAAGUCAUAUGUAGUUAUAGGGUUGAAAAGGAGAUGGACUAUACCGAAUUGGAGAGUCGAGUGAGGUCCUGUCGAGGUUCUGGUCCACGGCUCUAUCAUUACACCAAAAUAAAAAUUACAAGUUAAAAUAUAAAUGAAAUUAUAAAGUCUUAUCUAUGCAACAUCUCUUGAUUUUUGUCUUGGGUCUCUGAUGCUUUUAGAAGUGACAAAAGAUCUAAUCUUCUUUCGAUUGAACUUGAAGAUAGAAUUUUUCUCUAUACAAAUUUGGUGUUGGAGAUGAACUCAAAGUUAGUCAUGCUGCAGGUGGUAUCUCUGAACUUGAACCUGGAUUUGAAAUUCUUCACCCUAUUCUUCAGGUGGGCUCCUAACUUGCAGUCUUUCACCUAGUUGCUUGAAUUUUAAUCUCUUUACCGUAUUCUCCAGGUGGGCUCCUGACUUGCAAUUUCAUCACCCUGUUCUGCAGAUAGUCUCCUGACUUGCAAUUUCAUCACCCUAUUCUUGAGGCGAGCUCCUGACUUGUAACUCCAUCACCCUUUUCUCCAGACAGGCUCAUGACUUUCAAUUUCAUCACUCUAUUCUCCAGGACUCCUGACUUGUAACUCCAUCACCCUAUUCUUCAGGCGGACUCCGGAAAAUAAAAUCAAAACUAGAACAAAAAUUAUCCCACACAAAGAUUAUGAUAAAGAAAGAUUUUAUUUUUUCAGAAAAUAAUGUCUCAUUUUACAAGAGAGUUCUAAACAGAAAAUAAAGUCCCAUUUUUUAGGCGGGUCCUGAACAAAAGUAAUGUCCCAUUUUUCAAGAGGGUCCUGGACAUGAAGUAAAUUCCCAUUUUUCAGGAGGGUCCUGAACAUAACGUAAAUUUCCAUUUUCCAGUUGGGUCCUGAACAUAGAGUAAAUUUCCAUUUUUAGGAGGGUCUUGACCAUAAAAUAAGUUUCCAUUCUCCAGAAGGGUCCUAAACAUAAAAUAAAUUCUCAUUUUCCAGGAGGGUCCUGAACACAAAGUAAAGUCCCAUUUUUCAAGAGGGUCCUGAACAUAAAAUAAAUUCCAAUUUUCCAGGAGGGUCCUGAACAUAAAAAUAAAUUUUUAUUUUCCAGGAGGGUCCUAAACAUAAAAUAAAUUCUCAUUUUUCAGGAGGGUCCUGAACAUAAAGUAAAUUUCCAUUCUCCAGGAGGGUCCUGAACAUAAAAUAAAUUCUCAUUUUUUAGGAGGGUCCUGAACAUAAAAUAAAUUCUCAUUUUUUAGGAGGGUCCUGAACAUAAAGUAAAUUUCCAACCAAAUGCAUAUUUAUCCUAAUAAAUUAUUGAUCCCGAACUUUUUGAUUUAAUAAAACCAAAUGCAUAUUUAUCUAAAUAAAUUAUUUUGAUAAUAAAUUAUAUUAAAAUCAAGAUUUUAGUCAUUAUACUUAUUUUUAAAAUAAUCCUUAAUUAAAAUCCAAUAUUCCAUAGAAUAAAUAUUUAAGUAAUCAAAUUAUAUAAUCUCAUAUAACCGAACACAAUAAUAUAUAAUUGCUACUUAAAAUGAUAAAAUUACGUACAAAAAAUAUUUUAAUUUUUUUUAUUUGAAUGAAAUAAAUAUUUUAAUUUUAUUAAAAACCGAAGAAAUUCAGGAUUAAAUUUGGUCGUGGAGGGAAAAAAUUAGGUGUCAACAAGAAUAAGUUUCAAUCCUGCACUUUCCACCCGGGGCACCCUCUAGUGUUAGUAAUUGGUUUUGAUAGGGUAUGAUUAGCACAAUUUGAAUAUUUCUUUGCUAAACUAUUGAGAUCAUAUAUACAGGGCCGACUCGAUAAUUAUGAAGGCCUAAAUCAAAACUUCAAUGAGAGGCCGAAAAUUUUAUUAAAAAAUCAUAUAUUCUAUAGGAUAUCACUUGAAGUCUAUUUUCUAGCUUUUUAUAUACAAAAUUUAAGAUACUAUCUAUAUCUUAAUUUGUAUGAUAAUUUUCACUUUUUGACUUUGAAAAGUAUAAUAGGAUUAAGUUUGUAAAGAUACUUUUCAUUUUUUAAAAAAUAAGUAAUUUUUAAAAAGUGCUCUCAAACUUAAAACACCACACACACACUACACACACAUAUAUAUAUACACACAUAUAUACACAUAUACAGAGGCGGAUCCAAGGUUCAAAAACUCCGGAUACCACCUUAUUUUGAACAAUAACGUAUACUCCAUACGGUAUUUUAGGAUAGUGGAAUCAAUAUUCAAACAUUAAACUAUAAUUAUAUAUAUCUAACAAGUGUUAGUAUUAUAUGAAUGCUUGCCUAGUUGGUGUUGUCAGCUGUUUUGUAAAAAAAGAGGUCAAGGGUUCUAUUCUUCAUAGCCACACUAUAUAUUUUUUUAAGAGAAAACAAACAAGUGCUAAAAAUCAUUCUAAAAAUACAGUGCCACACGGGUUUCGAACCCGCGUUGUUGGAGUUAAACUAAACAAUUUCUACCACUUACACCACUAGUCCCUUUGAUAUUGUGGGUGUCAAGUAUAAUAUUUGUACAUUAACUGAUACAUAUACACAUAAAUAUACAGAGUUUCAUCCGAGAAGUGCGGGUGCCAUGCCACCCCAUACCUUCUACAUUGAUUCGCCCCUGCACAUACAUACAUACAUACAUAUGCCAGGAAAUUUUGGGCAGCAGUGGCUUUAGAAGCUUUACGCUUUAGCCGACCCUGCAUGUAUAAGUUCCUUGUAGGCUUGGCUCGAUUAGUCAUGUCGAUAUAUCUACAAAACAAAAAAUACCUAGGAAUCUUGAAAUAAAAAAGAAAUAAAAAUCUUCUCUGGAUCAACCAAAGAUAAGAAAUGGAAAAGGAAUAAUAGUAGGGUAAGAAUAUGCAAAGUCUGCAAUAUUAGGUUCUAGUGUCACAAUAAUAUGUCAUAGAGUUCCCAUUUUGAUAUGAGUUUUGCUUGCUAUAUUUUUAUUUUAUUAAAUAGAAUGUUAAUUUUAACUAAACAUUUUUGCCUUCCUACUUGUGUAAUAUUAUUUCACGAUCCUUGAUGACUUCUCUAUUGAGGAACAUUCAGGAAUAUUAGAUCUUCAAACUAAAUAAUUGUCAAGUUAGAUGAAAUUGUUCAUGUUUGAAGCUUAUUCACAUGUAUAGUCCUUGAUUUUUCUUUCUCCCUUUUCUCGCUAUUUUGUAUCUAUUGAAUAUUGUUGCAGGUCUUGGAGUUGUGGAACCAUUCAUUCAGAGCAACAUAACUUGGCCACAUAAUGAACAUGAGGGCAUAAUUUCUUCAUUAGCGAAUUCGCGUGUGAAAGAAAAUAUAGCUUCAGUGAGUCAUGAC